GCUGGCGGCAGGCUUAACACAUGCAAGUCGAACGCCCGUAGCAAUACGGGAGUGGCAGACGGGUGAGUAACGCGUGGGAACGUGCCCUUUGGUACGGAACAACUCCGGGAAACUGGAGCUAAUACCGUAUGUGCCCUUCGGGGGAAAGAUUUAUCGCCAAAGGAUCGGCCCGCGUCUGAUUAGCUAGUUGGUGAGGUAACGGCUCACCAAGGCGACGAUCAGUAGCUGGUCUGAGAGGAUGAUCAGCCACACUGGGACUGAGACACGGCCCAGACUCCUACGGGAGGCAGCAGUGGGGAAUAUUGGACAAUGGGCGAAAGCCUGAUCCAGCCAUGCCGCGUGAGUGAUGAAGGCCUUAGGGUUGUAAAGCUCUUUCGGCGGGGACGAUAAUGACGGUACCCGCAGAAGAAGCCCCGGCUAACUUCGUGCCAGCAGCCGCGGUAAUACGAAGGGGGCUAGCAUUGUUCGGAAUUACUGGGCGUAAAGCGUAUGCAGGCGGAUCGUUAAGUCGGGGGUGAAAUCCCGAGGCUCAACCUCGGAACUGCCUUCGAUACUGGCGAUCUUGAGUCCGGGAGAGGUGAGUGGAACUCCGAGUGUAGAGGUGAAAUUCGUAGAUAUUCGGAAGAACACCAGUGGCGAAG
This 641-nucleotide ribosomal RNA is filed under the name uncultured soil bacterium. RNAcentral's name for it is "bacterial SSU rRNA". It matches the Rfam family "Bacterial small subunit ribosomal RNA", at positions 35 to 720 of the family's 1533-position model. The record is from RNAcentral.